CCUACGGGGGGCAGCAGUGAGGAAUAUUGGUCAAUGGACGGAAGUCUGAACCAGCCAUGCCGCGUGCAGGAUGACGGCUCGAUGAGUGGUAAACGGCGUUUGUAGGAGGGUAAACAACACUACGUGUAGGGGCUUGAAAGUAUAAUACGAAUAAGGAUAGGAUAACUCCGUGCCAGCAGCCGCGGUAAUACGGAGGGGCCAAGCGUUAUCCGGAUUUAUUGGGUUUAAAGGGUGCGUAGGCGGUUUGAUAAGUUAGAGGUGAAAUCCCGGUGCUCAACCCCGGAACUGCCUCUAAUACUGUUGACCUAGAGCGUAGUUGCGGUAGGCGUAAUGUCUGGUGUAGCGGUGAAAUGCUUAGCGAUCCUCC
RNAcentral lists this ribosomal RNA (367 nucleotides) under uncultured bacterium. RNAcentral describes it as "partial 16S ribosomal RNA". It matches the Rfam family "Bacterial small subunit ribosomal RNA", at positions 338 to 702 of the family's 1533-position model. The record is from RNAcentral.